AGCAGUGUCGGCUCAGUGGAAAGAGCACGGGCUUGGGAUUCAGAGGUCAUGGGUUCGAAUCCCAGCUCUGCCA
This 73-nucleotide transfer RNA is filed under the name Ornithorhynchus anatinus (platypus). It matches the Rfam family "tRNA". From Rfam's summary of the family: Transfer RNA (tRNA) molecules are approximately 80 nucleotides in length. The record is from Rfam by way of RNAcentral. Lineage: Eukaryota; Metazoa; Chordata; Mammalia; Monotremata; Ornithorhynchidae.